RNAcentral lists this unclassified non-coding RNA (490 nucleotides) under Hevea brasiliensis (rubber tree). Lineage: Eukaryota; Viridiplantae; Streptophyta; Magnoliopsida; Malpighiales; Euphorbiaceae. The record is from RNAcentral.
AUGAGAUCUACAUCCCUUGCCCAUGCCUUUGAAACAGCCAAAUUUCAAGAACAAUUACUUAAUUGUAACAAAAAAACCUAAUUCCUUUUCCAGAACCUACCAAAAAGGUGCAAGAACCAAUUCCUUUAUUCAAUCAUCAUCUCUUUCUUACAAAUCUGCACCAACCUACCAAAAUUACCCUUAUGCACCCAAACUGCCCAACUCUAAUCAAAAUAAUGACCCAAAACAGCCCAUUUCCACUCAGAAACCAGUCUCUACAACCAAACAAGCUUUUGUUAACUAGCCUGCAACCAAACCAAACACUAAUAUUGCAUCCAAUUCCAAUAAUAUCAGGCAACCAAGACCUUGUUUUAGGUGUGGAGAAAAGUAUUUCUCUGGUCAUAUAAAACAACAGAAAUCUGUGAUGGAUAUUCAAUCUUGUGAAAAUGAUGAAAUUGCAUUUCAAAUGCAAGGGCAGGAAGUGGAUGAUGGAGAAGAAGUGUGGCAUGAU